This 496-nucleotide ribosomal RNA is filed under the name uncultured bacterium. RNAcentral describes it as "partial 16S ribosomal RNA". It matches the Rfam family "Bacterial small subunit ribosomal RNA", at positions 28 to 506 of the family's 1533-position model. The record is from RNAcentral.
GACGAACGCUGGCGGCGUGCCUAAUACAUGCAAGUUGAGCGCUGAAGGUUGGUACUUGUACCAACUGGAUGAGCAGCGAACGGGUGAGUAACGCGUGGGGAAUCUGCCUUUGAGCGGGGGACAACAUUUGGAAACGAAUGCUAAUACCGCAUAAAAACUUUAAACACAAGUUUUAAGUUUGAAAGAUGCAAUUGCAUCACUCAAAGAUGAUCCCGCGUUGUAUUAGCUAGUUGGUGAGGUAAAGGCUCACCAAGGCGAUGAUACAUAGCCGACCUGAGAGGGUGAUAGGCCACAUUGGGACUGAGACACGGCCCAAACUCCUACGGGAGGCAGCAGUAGGGAAUCUUCGGCAAUGGACGAAAGUCUGACCGAGCAACGCCGCGUGAGUGAAGAAGGUUUUCGGAUCGUAAAACUCUGUUGGUAGAGAAGAACGUUGGUGAGAGUGGAAAGCUCAUCAAGGGACGGUAACUACCCAGAAAGGGACGGCUAACUACGU